This 215-nucleotide long non-coding RNA is filed under the name Ornithorhynchus anatinus (platypus). RNAcentral describes it as "lncRNA (ENSOANG00000050549.1)". Lineage: Eukaryota; Metazoa; Chordata; Mammalia; Monotremata; Ornithorhynchidae. The record is from RNAcentral.
CAGGAGAAAGUUAUGCUACAGGACCCAGCUGAGAAAGCCUUCUAGAACCUCUCUUUGUAACCAGAAAGUCAAAGUGUCACCAGAGAAGAGUUCCCAGCCCCCUAACCCCAGUUCCUCUGACCUGAUGGAAAGAAGCUGACAGUGCUGCUGGGCAAAUCAAGAACCCCAACUUUGAAAAAGCCUUGUCCAUAGCCUACCUGACACUAAACUGAAAC